Molecule: non-coding RNA, 752 nt
Organism: Phascolarctos cinereus (koala)
Lineage: Eukaryota; Metazoa; Chordata; Mammalia; Diprotodontia; Phascolarctidae
Source: RefSeq, a predicted model, not a curated record
CCUCCCUCCCUCCUCUCCUGGCAGCAACCAGAGGAUGGAUGUCCUAUUCACGUAAAGCAUAGUUAUAGGUGCAAGCAAUGGAGUCCCUAGACCCAGGAGCUUAAGCAAGGAGACCUUGGAGGGAAGAUUCCAGGCUGGAUGCUGCUGCUACCCCAGCAGAGAAACCAGGGUGCCUGAGACCAGAACCCAAGGGGGGCUUUGGACUCGGUGGGGUGACCGUGCUAUAUAGGAACUGAGCAAAAUUGUAAACUUAAUCAUCUUCCCCUCUACAGAGACUGAGAGGGUAGAGGAGGGAUUAUGUCUCCUAAAUUUUAGGAGAGAAUUGGCCAUGGAGCAACAUGAAGGGAAAGGACUUGUGGAGAAAAUCUCUGCCUAUGCUUCCAGUGAGUCACCCUGCCAAUUUUUUGUCUGCCUUCUCUACCCCAAAUGAGAUCACAGAGAGUCAGACAUGACUGAAACUACUGAACAAGAACAAAAAUUGUGACUUCUUUGUGGCUGAGCAUUACUGGAGGCAGCUGUGACAUCAUGAUGGCAUAGUCUGCUACAAAUCCAUAUUAUGUAACCUUAGUUGAGCCCUUGUUGCUGUUUAGCAUUACCUCGGAUUGGCUUCCCAUAACACUCUCUCUAGUAGUUGUUCUAAAACUCCCUUUCAAAUUUCCAGCAAUCCUUAUGGUUUAGGGCAAAGAAUAUUAGAUUUGGAGCCAGAGGAAGUGGGUUUUGAAGCUGAGAUCUGAUAUUUACUACCUAUGUAA